This 64-nucleotide transfer RNA is filed under the name Heterocephalus glaber (naked mole-rat). It matches the Rfam family "tRNA". From Rfam's summary of the family: Transfer RNA (tRNA) molecules are approximately 80 nucleotides in length. Their secondary structure includes four short double-helical elements and three loops (D, anti-codon, and T loops). Lineage: Eukaryota; Metazoa; Chordata; Mammalia; Rodentia; Bathyergidae. The record is from Rfam by way of RNAcentral.
GGUGUGGCCCAGUGGUAGAGCACUUCCCUGGGAUGUAUGUGGUCUGGGUUCAAUCCCCAGUACC